UGAGGAAUAUUGGGCAAUGCCCGCAAGGGUGACCCAGCAACGCCGCGUGGAGGAUGAAUGUCGUAAGAUUGUAAACUCCUGUUAGAGGGGAAGAAUAGUACCGGUUGGACCGGUAUAUGACUGUACCCUCAGAGAAAGCCCCGGCUAACUACGUGCCAGCAGCCGCGGUAAUACGUAGGGGGCAAGCGUUGUCCGGAUUUACUGGGUGUAAAGGGCGCGCAGGCGGGAUAAAAAGUCAGUGGUGAAAUCCUACAGCUUAACUGGAGAACUGCCUUUGAUACUUUUAUUCUUGAGUGCGGGAGAGAGAGACGGAAUUCCAGGUGUAGUGGUGAAAUACGUAGAUAUCUGGAAGAACACCAGUUGCGAAGGCGGUCUCUUGGUCCGACACUGACGCCGAGGCGCGAAAGCGUGGGGAGCAAACA
RNAcentral lists this ribosomal RNA (422 nucleotides) under uncultured bacterium. Its description in RNAcentral is "bacterial SSU rRNA". It matches the Rfam family "Bacterial small subunit ribosomal RNA", at positions 355 to 774 of the family's 1533-position model. The record is from RNAcentral.